UCGACUCCUAGGGCCUCUCCCGUUAGUUCCUCGUCCCCCCGCACCCGCGCUUCCUUCUGAAGCUUGACUCCUCCCCGGACUCUUCGCUCUCCUCUGGCCCAGUGCCUUCCCCCGCGUCCUCUCCGCUACCUGCGUAACUUCUAGAUGCGGAGGCAGGGGUGAAGGGCACCGAUCCUCCUCGCUGGGGCGGCGCGGCCGCGGCGGGCUGUAGAGCGAGCCUCCGCUAGGGGGAGACUUCGCCUCACGGAAGCAAAGGGGACUUUCCACCCAGAGGAAGCAGAGGACGAUGGUUGCCAAGGAGGGAAUGCUGGCUUGCAGAGAAGGAGAAAACAGAGACGGAGGAGAAGACUCCAGGGAAAAAACAGAGAUGGAGGAGAAAACUCCAGGGAAGAACAGAGAUGGAGGAGAAAACUCCAGGGAAGAACAGAGAUGGAGGAGAAAACUCCAGGGAAGAACAGAGAUGGAGGAGAAAACUCCGGGGAAGAACAGAUGGAGGAGAAGACUCCAGGGAAGAACAGAAAUGGAGGAGAAACAGUCUCUCUCUGACCAUGUUGUCCCUUCCGCAUUCUAGAACCCUUUAAGGCCCAAACUAUACGUCUUACUUUUGGGAUCUGUUACAAGCAUCCUAGAACUUUAUAAUAAAGUCCCCAUUUUCUGGUUAA
Suricata suricatta (meerkat) is the source of this 662-nucleotide long non-coding RNA. RefSeq lists it as uncharacterized. Lineage: Eukaryota; Metazoa; Chordata; Mammalia; Carnivora; Herpestidae. The transcript is spliced from 2 exons. The record is from RefSeq and is a predicted model, not a curated record.